AACGAACGCUGGCGGCAUGCCUAACACAUGCAAGUCGAACGAGAUCUUCGGGUCUAGUGGCGCACGGGUGCGUAACGCGUGGGAAUCUGCCCUUUGGUUCGGAAUAACAGUUGGAAACGACUGCUAAUACCGGAUGAUGACGAAAGUCCAAAGAUUUAUCGCCAGAGGAUGAGCUCGCGUAGGAUUAGCUAGUUGGUGUGGUAAAGGCGCACCAAGGCGACGAUCCCUAGCUGGUCUGAGAGGAUGAUCAGCCACACUGGGACUGAGACACGGCCCAGACUCCUACGGGAGGCAGCAGUGGGGAAUAUUGGACAAUGGGCGAAAGCCUGAUCCAGCAAUGCCGCGUGAGCGAUGAAGGCCUUAGGGUUGUAAAGUUCUUUUACCCGGGAUGAUAAUGACAGUACCGGGAGAAUAAGCUCCGGCUAACUCCGUGCCAGCCGCCGCAGUAA
Molecule: ribosomal RNA, 449 nt
Filed under: uncultured bacterium
Lineage: Bacteria
Description: partial 16S ribosomal RNA
Rfam family: Bacterial small subunit ribosomal RNA
Source: RNAcentral